CCGUGAUAAUAUCCCAUCUAUUAUCCCCUAUCUUCUGUAUCGUCCGGUAAUUGUCACUAUGGGUUUAGGUUAAAAUCUGGUUUUCAUAUAAAAAAUAUUUACGCUCUGGCUGAUUUGUGAGAGGGAGACAACGGGAUUAAAAAAUGGAUUAUAGAGACGAGCAGGUUAAUGAAAUUGAGGCGCUCGAUUCCAUAUACUGUGGGGAUAUGGAAAUUAUAGCAAAGCAGCCCUUCUACAAAUUUUCAAUCCCAAUUAAAUCUGAAGAACAUGAACUAGAGACAAGCAAUGGUUUAGCUUGUCGACUAGAAUUUACUUACACAGCUAAAUAUCCUGAUGAGCCACUAGUCGUAGAUAUUGAGGAUCAAGAAAACUUUGAGGAUGGUGACGAACAGAUACUCAAAGAACACUUAGCGGAUCAAAUGAAUGAAAAUUUAGGCAUGGUUAUGGUUUUCACCCUCGUUAGUGCUGCGCAAGAAUGGCUCAAUGUUCAGUGGGACAAAAUAAAAAUGCAUAGGGAAGAAAGUGCUGCCUUGAAACUGAAAGAGGAAGAAGAGGCAGAAAGAAAAAGAUUUGAGGGAACAAGAGUUACUGUCGAGACGUUUCUAACCUGGAAAGAGAAGUUCGAUGAUGAAAUGGGAAUUACAAAACGACGUGAAAUUGCGGAGCGUGAAGGGAAAAAGUUGACUGGAAGAGAGCUCUUUAUGACAGAUAAAACAUUAGAUCAAUCUGAUUUGAAGUUCUUGGAAGACGGAGAUGCAGUCAAGGUGGAUGAAAGUCUGUUUCAAAACUUGGAAGAUCUUGAUUUGGACGAUGAUCCGGAUGAUCUGGAUUUUGACCCAAAUAAUUUGUCUGAUGACAGUGCCUAACAAUGUUGAUGGUAGCGAGUGAGCUAUUCUGACUGACUGACAGAGGCUCCUGGAGUCAUCAGCAACGAGGAAUUUAAACUCGUAAUGAACGAAUGCAAGAAGCAUGGACCACCAAAUGCAUUCAUAUGCCUAAUACCGUUGAAGUGUUUUGUAACAAUUUGUAUCGGAAUCCAACUUGUGGGUGUGCAGGGUAAUUGACCCAUAACAGUAAGAAAAUUUGAUGAGUAUCAAACCACAAACAACUCCGUGUCAUCUAUUGAACUUUUAUUUUGUAACAUUGGAUCGGUAGGGAGCAAAUAUAAGUAAUAAAAAAAUAUUUAUAUAAAUAAAUACGAUAAUGUCCA
RNAcentral lists this unclassified non-coding RNA (1210 nucleotides) under Neodiprion lecontei (redheaded pine sawfly). RNAcentral describes it as "rWD domain-containing protein 1, transcript variant X1". Lineage: Eukaryota; Metazoa; Arthropoda; Insecta; Hymenoptera; Diprionidae. The record is from RNAcentral.